This is a long non-coding RNA of Gossypium raimondii (Peruvian cotton), 1428 nucleotides long. RefSeq lists it as uncharacterized. The transcript has 2 exons. Lineage: Eukaryota; Viridiplantae; Streptophyta; Magnoliopsida; Malvales; Malvaceae. The record is from RefSeq and is a predicted model, not a curated record.
GAUUAAAUUAUACUUUUAGUUUUUUGACACAAAUUCGACUGAUGCAUUAAUUAGGUAAAGUUAAAAAAUUACAAAUUCCUAAAAAACCACUGUGUCUCCUAAUCCUACCAUCUAUCACUAAACCAUUGCUUCCCGUGGGCGGUGCCUCGGUAUUGGAAUUUCGUAAGGCCUAAAAGAAGCGCCUAAACCUUGUAGAAGAAACAAACACACAUUUUCAUAAAGAAACUAAAAAAAAUGAAACCCUAAAUUCUUAACUUUCCCUUACCCUUCUUCUUUAUUAUUGCAACGUCGAAUGUCCCUUUGGGAGGGAACUGGUAUUCCUCAGGCAGUGUGCGUGGGUCAUUUUCUUCCCCCAGUUCCUCUAAUCUCUGAGUUCUUCGAAGAUCUUGUAACAAAUCCUAUUUCUUCUCCAGACUCAACCUAUCAAAACAUUGUCUCCGCCUCCUCUAGCUUCUUCCCCUUUGGUCCUUCAAAACCAUAGGUUCAACCUCCGGUGGAGUUUCUUCCGUCCAUAAGGUCGGGGAGUAACAUCCUCCCCCCCCCAUGCAGCCACCCGUGCGCCGCUUCGUUUGCUUCACGCGAUAUUUUUUUAAUCACAGUCAUUGAAUCCCUUUCGACUAUUACUUCGCCAAAUCCCAUUUCUUCUACAAAGACAACCCCUUGGAGACAUGCAUAUGCUUCUGCAGUUGUCAGAUCUCAAACGUUUUUGACCGGGUAAACACAUGAACCCAUUAUGAGUCCCAUGUUGUUUUCGAUAAUUAUUCCAGAGAUUGUUCUGUUGUUUUGUUAUUGAAACACGAUAUUAAAAUCUACUUUGACUUGUUCCUCUAUUGGGGGUUCUCAAUGGGCUUCUUUUCUAUUGUGCUUGCAUUCUAGUACUUCGUCUAAUAUGCUUAGUUCUAUAAUAUAUGCUUUGAUAAAGCCUACUAUAUCACAUAUCCUCUGCUGAAUACCUUUAUGGAAAAAUUUGUUCCUAUUAUGCCAUAUUGCCCAGAAUGAAAUUGCUAGACAUAUACAUUGGUAUGUGUUAUUGAUGUUAAAAGUCUCAGCUAACUAGUGUUUCCAUUCUUGAUUUUCACAUAUGGGCGUGAAUAUCACUUCUAUUUGUUGGAGAACUUGUUUUGCAAGAUUACAAUCUUGGAAGAUAUGGUUGAUUGAUUUGUCUUCUUCAUCGCAUAGUGGACAUAGAGCAUCAAACCUCAGCUUACGGGCUUUUAGGUUACUUAGUGUAGGCAAAUAAUUGUUUGUAAUUCUACAUAAGCUGAUUCGUACCUUGUUGGAAACUUUUAGGCUCCAUAAUUUUGAAUAAAAGUUUUUUGUAGAUCUGGAUGUAUUGUAUUUUCAUAUCCCAACAUGUCUUGUUCCUCUGUAAUACACCACUUGUAACCACUUUUAACUAUAUAUUUCCCCUAGUGGGAUUGAACUCAA